Molecule: ribosomal RNA, 486 nt
Filed under: uncultured bacterium
Lineage: Bacteria
Description: partial 16S ribosomal RNA
Rfam family: Bacterial small subunit ribosomal RNA
Source: RNAcentral
AUUGAACGCUGGCGGCAUGCCUUACACAUGCAAGUCGAACGGCAGCACGGGUGCUUGCCCCUGGUGGCGAGUGGCGAACGGGUGAGUAAUACAUCGGAACAUGUCCUGCAGUGGGGGAUAGCCCGGCGAAAGCCGGAUUAAUACCGCAUACGAUCCACGGAUGAAAGCGGGGGACCUUCGGGCCUCGCGCUAUAGGGUUGGCCGAUGGCUGAUUAGCUAGUUGGUGGGGUAAAGGCCUACCAAGGCGACGAUCAGUAGCUGGUCUGAGAGGACGACCAGCCACACUGGGACUGAGACACGGCCCAGACUCCUACGGGAGGCAGCAGUGGGGAAUUUUGGACAAUGGGCGAAAGCCUGAUCCAGCAAUGCCGCGUGUGUGAAGAAGGCCUUCGGGUUGUAAAGCACUUUUGUCCGGAAAGAAAUCCUUGGCUCUAAUACAGUCGGGGGAUGACGGUACCGGAAGAAUAAGCACCGGCUAACUACGUG